GGAGAGUUCGCAUAGCGGUCUAGUGCGCUCGCUUGGAAAGCGGGUAGGGAAGCAAUUCCCUCAGGAGUUCGAAUCUCCUACUCUCCG
RNAcentral lists this transfer RNA (87 nucleotides) under Patescibacteria group bacterium. RNAcentral's name for it is "tRNA-Ser". It matches the Rfam family "tRNA". Rfam says of the family: Transfer RNA (tRNA) molecules are approximately 80 nucleotides in length. Their secondary structure includes four short double-helical elements and three loops (D, anti-codon, and T loops). The record is from RNAcentral.